GGGGACAAGUAGAGUGGCGUCCGGGUGAGUAACACGUAGGUAAUCUACCUUCGGGUGGGGAAUAACGCAGGGAAACUUGCGCUAAUACCGCAUAAUGCAGCGGCACCACAUGGUGACAGUUGUUAAAGCGGGGGAUUUUCGAACCUCGCGCCUGAAGAGGAGCCUGCGGCGGAUUAGCUAGUUGGUAAGGUAACGGCUUACCAAGGCGACGAUCCGUAACCGGCCUGAGAGGGCGGUCGGUCACACUGACACUGACAUACGGGUCAGACUCCUACGGGAGGCAGCAGUCGGGAAUUUUGGGCAAUGGGCGAAAGCCUGACCCAGCAACGCCGCGUGAAGGAUGAAAUCCCUCGGGAUGUAAACUUCGCAAGAAUGGGAAGAAUAGACGAGUACUAAUACUGCUCGUGAUGACGGUACCAUUUGUAAGCUCCGGCUAACUCCGUGCCAGCAGCCGCGGUAAUACGGGGGGAGCAAGCGUUGUUCGGAUUUACUGGGCGUAAAGGGCGCGUAGGCGGCCAGCACAAGUCAGUUGUGAAAUCUCCGGGCUUAACUCGGAAAGGUCAACUGAUACUGUGCGGCUAGAGUGCAGAAGGGGCAACUGGAAUUCUCGGUGUAGCGGUGAAAUGCGCAGAUAUCGAGAGGAACACCUGCGGCGAAGGCGGGUUGCUGGGCUGACACUGACGCUGAUGCGCGAAGCCAGGGGAGCGAACGGGAUUAGAUACCCCGGUAGUCCUGGCCUUAAACGAUGGAUGC
This 753-nucleotide ribosomal RNA is filed under the name uncultured bacterium. Its description in RNAcentral is "bacterial SSU rRNA". It matches the Rfam family "Bacterial small subunit ribosomal RNA", at positions 82 to 816 of the family's 1533-position model. The record is from RNAcentral.